GAGACACGCGUGCAAAACACGUAUACUUGACUAGUAUAAUUGUUCUAAUUGGUUAGAAAUAUAAUCAUAUAAUGUAUUUAAAUGGAUAUGCGUGGUAAUCAAGAUACCAUAUAUAUUUGGUAAGCUAUUUCACGCGUAUUUUGGUAACAGCUAGGAAUCCAAGUGCAAGUCCUAAUCCUACACAAAAAGGGAAAACACUUUUUUUUCUCUAUAUAUACUUAUGAGUCCAGUUGCAAACUUCAAUAUUUACGCUUCGAUUAGUUUCAUCAAAUAAUGGAGUCACCCACAUCUGCCAGUCAAAUCCAUGUGUUCCCCCAAUUUCGUAAUGCUAGA
RNAcentral lists this long non-coding RNA (333 nucleotides) under Capsicum annuum. Its description in RNAcentral is "long non-coding RNA (CANN_LNC016484)". The record is from RNAcentral. Lineage: Eukaryota; Viridiplantae; Streptophyta; Magnoliopsida; Solanales; Solanaceae.